Molecule: ribosomal RNA, 1491 nt
Filed under: Lacticaseibacillus casei
Lineage: Bacteria; Bacillati; Bacillota; Bacilli; Lactobacillales; Lactobacillaceae
Description: bacterial SSU rRNA
Rfam family: Bacterial small subunit ribosomal RNA
Source: RNAcentral
AGAGUUUGAAUCUGGCUCAGGAUGAACGCUGGCGGCGUGCCUAAUACAUGCAAGUCGAACGAGUUCUUGUUGAUGAUCGGUGCUUGCACCAAGAUUCAACAUGGAACGAGUGGCGGACGGGUGAGUAACACGUGGGUAACCUGCCCUUAAGUGGGGGAUAACAUUUGGAAACAGAUGCUAAUACCGCAUAGAUCCAAGAACCGCAUGGUUCUUGGCUGAAAGAUGGCGUAAGCUAUCGCUUUUGGAUGGACCCGCGGCGUAUUAGCUAGUUGGUGAGGUAAUGGCUCACCAAGGCGAUGAUACGUAGCCGAACUGAGAGGUUGAUCGGCCACAUUGGGACUGAGACACGGCCCAAACUCCUACGGGAGGCAGCAGUAGGGAAUCUUCCACAAUGGACGCAAGUCUGAUGGAGCAACGCCGCGUGAGUGAAGAAGGCUUUCGGGUCGUAAAACUCUGUUGUUGGAGAAGAAUGGUCGGCAGAGUAACUGUUGUCGGCGUGACGGUAUCCAACCAGAAAGCCACGGCUAACUACGUGCCAGCAGCCGCGGUAAUACGUAGGUGGCAAGCGUUAUCCGGAUUUAUUGGGCGUAAAGCGAGCGCAGGCGGUUUUUUAAGUCUGAUGUGAAAGCCCUCGGCUUAACCGAGGAAGCGCAUCGGAAACUGGGAAACUUGAGUGCAGAAGAGGACAGUGGAACUCCAUGUGUAGCGGUGAAAUGCGUAGAUAUAUGGAAGAACACCAGUGGCGAAGGCGGCUGUCUGGUCUGUAACUGACGCUGAGGCUCGAAAGCAUGGGUAGCGAACAGGAUUAGAUACCCUGGUAGUCCAUGCCGUAAACGAUGAAUGCUAGGUGUUGGAGGGUUUCCGCCCUUCAGUGCCGCAGCUAACGCAUUAAGCAUUCCGCCUGGGGAGUACGACCGCAAGGUUGAAACUCAAAGGAAUUGACGGGGGCCCGCACAAGCGGUGGAGCAUGUGGUUUAAUUCGAAGCAACGCGAAGAACCUUACCAGGUCUUGACAUCUUUUGAUCACCUGAGAGAUCAGGUUUCCCCUUCGGGGGCAAAAUGACAGGUGGUGCAUGGUUGUCGUCAGCUCGUGUCGUGAGAUGUUGGGUUAAGUCCCGCAACGAGCGCAACCCUUAUGACUAGUUGCCAGCAUUUAGUUGGGCACUCUAGUAAGACUGCCGGUGACAAACCGGAGGAAGGUGGGGAUGACGUCAAAUCAUCAUGCCCCUUAUGACCUGGGCUACACACGUGCUACAAUGGAUGGUACAACGAGUUGCGAGACCGCGAGGUCAAGCUAAUCUCUUAAAGCCAUUCUCAGUUCGGACUGUAGGCUGCAACUCGCCUACACGAAGUCGGAAUCGCUAGUAAUCGCGGAUCAGCACGCCGCGGUGAAUACGUUCCCGGGCCUUGUACACACCGCCCGUCACACCAUGAGAGUUUGUAACACCCGAAGCCGGUGGCGUAACCCUUUUAGGGAGCGAGCCGUCUAAG